RNAcentral lists this unclassified non-coding RNA (262 nucleotides) under plant metagenome. Its description in RNAcentral is "partial contains small subunit ribosomal RNA, internal transcribed spacer 1, and 5.8S ribosomal RNA". The record is from RNAcentral.
GCUCCGUUGGUGAACCAGCGGAGGGAUCAUUACCGAGUUUACAACUCCCAAACCCCUAUGUGAACGUUACCAAACUGUUGCCUCGGCGGGAAAUUCAUGCCCCGGGCGCGUCGCAGCCCCGGACCAAGGCGCCCGCCGGAGGACCAACCAAAACUCUUUUGUAUGUCCCUCGCGGACAUUUAUAAUUCUGAACCAUCUCGGCGCCCCUAGCGGGCGUUUCGAAAAUGAAUCAAAACUUUCAACAACGGAUCUCUUGGUUCUG